RNAcentral lists this non-coding RNA (24 nucleotides) under Mus musculus (house mouse). The record is from RNAcentral. Lineage: Eukaryota; Metazoa; Chordata; Mammalia; Rodentia; Muridae.
UGCAGCAACGUGACUACUGUGCCC